GAACUUCCGUUAAUUGAUUAUGACGUGCUUGCACUGAAUGAGAUUUUAACACGAAGUGAGUGGCGGACGGGUGAGUAACACGUGGGUAACCUGCCCAGAAGCAGGGGAUAACACCUGGAAACAGAUGCUAAUACCGUAUAACAGAGAAAACCGCCUGGUUUUCUUUUAAAAGAUGGCUCUGCUAUCACUUCUGGAUGGACCCGCGGCGCAUUAGCUGGUUGGUGAGGUAACGGCUCACCAAGGCGAUGAUGCGUAGCCGACCUGAGAGGGUAAUCGGCCACAUUGGGACUGAGACACGGCCCAGACUCCUACGGGAGGCAGCAGUAGGGAAUCUUCCACAAUGGACGCAAGUCUGAUGGAGCAACGCCGCGUGAGUGAAGAAGGGUUUCGGCUCGUAAAGCUCUGUUGUUAAAGAAGAACGUGGGUGAGAGUAACUGUUCACCCAGUGACGGUAUUUAACCAGAAAGCCACGGCUAACUACGUGCCAGCAGCCGCGGUAAUACGUAGGUGGCAAGCGUUAUCCGGAUUUAUUGGGCGUAAAGCGAGCGCAGGCGGUCUUUUAAGUCUAAUGUGAAAGCCUUCGGCUCAACCGAAGAAGUGCAUUGGAAACUGGGAGACUUGAGUGCAGAAGAGGACAGUGGAACUCCAUGUGUAGCGGUGAAAUGCGUAGAUAUAUGGAAGAACACCAGUGGCGAAGGCGGCUGUCUGGUCUGUAACUGACGCUGAGGCUCGAAAGCAUGGGUAGCGAACAGGAUUAGAUACCCUGGUAGUCCAUGCCGUAAACGAUGAUUACUAAGUGUUGGAGGGUUUCCGCCCUUCAGUGCUGCAGCUAACGCAUUAAGUAAUCCGCCUGGGGAGUACGACCGCAAGGUUGAAACUCAAAAGAAUUGACGGGGGCCCGCACAAGCGGUGG
This 913-nucleotide ribosomal RNA is filed under the name Pediococcus acidilactici. Its description in RNAcentral is "bacterial SSU rRNA". It matches the Rfam family "Bacterial small subunit ribosomal RNA", at positions 31 to 935 of the family's 1533-position model. Lineage: Bacteria; Bacillati; Bacillota; Bacilli; Lactobacillales; Lactobacillaceae. The record is from RNAcentral.